ACUCGCCCCUCCAAAAGUGGGUAAAUUAAUCGUGACUAUCGCGGAUGAAACGCAAACGCUCCAUCUGGAAGCGCCUGAGAAGUUGAACUUCGACUCUCCUGCCCGGGCAACGGCAAGAGGCGCGAGAGACCAGUUGCUUUGUCGCGACUGGCUAGCAGGGAGCAGCCAAUGACGACCUUCGAAUGCGGAGGGUUCGGGAGGCGCCUCUUUGGGCUGGGCGAGUUCUGAAGCGGUUGACGCGGCGCGCGCCAACUUUAACGGCCUUGCUGCUGCUUGGGAGGCGCGUGUUAGUCCGGGCUGCCAAAAGACGAAGGAGGCCCCAGCCUCGUCUCUCCAUGGCGGCACCCUUGGCCGGAUCAAAAAGAGGAACGCGAUUAUGACUCAUUUAAAUUUAAGCUUUGCCGCCGCAGGCCCCGCCGACAUGGGCUACCGGGCUACCCGGCAGGUGCCGGGCCACGGCCACGGGCAUCGCUACCACCAGCAGGAGGAGGAGGAGGAUGAGUAUUAUUUCGAUAAGUGGGACAUCUUGCCUAAAGACUUGCCGGUCAUCGUACUGCUGGUGUUUGCGACUUUCGCCGCGGCAGCCUUGCUGCGAACAAUUUUGAAAGAAACAAAAAUGCCUAUUCUUGUAUUUAUAUUUUUCGUUGGAGUUGCCCUUGGAUUAAUAGACCGUUUUGCAAGUGAGUUAGAGAUUGUGAAAACCAUUGCAAGUAUAGAUCCUGUACUGUUCAUUCAUACGUUUUCACCAGCUAUAAUAUUUUCAGCUGCAUUUGAUAUGGAUUUUUAUAUAUUUCGGAAAUCAAUUUGGCAGCUUGUUCAUCCAACUUAUAACCAAUUUCAAACACCAGUCUGGGACCUUCACUGCUUCGUUGGAUUCAUAUGGAAAAGAGAUACAGUGCUACUACUUGCAGUUCCUGGAUUUUUGGUGAAUAGCGCUCUCCUUGCAUUCCUCACUUUUAAACUCAAUAAGUUUGAUGGGAGCUUUGAUUAUUGCAUGUUAUUUGGAGUAAUUCUUAGCACAACAGACCCUAUUCUUUCUGUGGCUUCCGUAAAAAACAUUGGUCUUUCAAAAAUACUUAUCAAUUUAAUCAAAGGAGAGUCUUUGCUCAAUGAUGCCAUCUCAAUAAUUAUUUUUGAAUUCCAUAGGGAUCUUUCUAGGAGGCAACAUAAAGAAAUGAUUUUAGAAUUUUUAACAAAAAUGUUCUUAAAAUGUUUUGCAAGUGCCGUGUUCGGAUUUUUGAGUUCAAGAGUCACCCUCUGUUGGUUGAAAUAUAUAUUCAAUGAUGGAAUCGUUGAAGUAGUUUUAAGCUUCUCAACAGUAUAUCUGAUUUUUUACAUAGCUGAACAACUUGGAAUGUCUGGAAUUAUUGCUGUUUGCAUUUUGGGUCUUCUUUUAGAUUCUGUGAGCUUUAGUCCAGGAGUUGAUUUGUUUCUUUAUAAGUUCUGGGCAAUGUUGACAUUUUUGGCUCACGUUUUGUUAUAUCUUAUCAUGGGAAUUGUUAUAACUCACAAAACAAUUCUACACGUGAAAUCUCCUCUUUCAUUUUUUAUUAUAACAGUCUAUCUUUCAUUGAAUCUUGUACGGGCUAUGGUUGUUUUGGCACUGAGCCCUUUUUUGAGUCAUGUGGGCUAUGGAUUUAAUUGGCGUUGGGGAGCUGUUAUUGUCUGGAGUGGAAUAAGGGGCACUUUCAGUUUCAACAUGGCUCUUGCACUUUCUCAAGAAAAAUUUCAACAUGAAAAAGAUACUAGUACCUCUGUACAGAUAUUACUGCAUUCAGGAAUAGCAUCUCUAUUGACCUUGAUAAUUAAUUCUACCACUGUGAAAAAGCUGGUUAUGGCAUUAGGCCUUUGCAGUUUUACUCUUCCAAAACGCAUGGCACUGCAUAAUGCUGUUCAGCGUAUCAGACAAAUAGAGGCCAACACCUUUUCAAUGUUGAAACUUGACAGAUUUUUGGCUGAUGCAAAUUGGGAAAUGGCUGAAGAAGCAAUUCAAAUGGAAUAUCCAUUUAGAUUAGAUUCAGAAGAAAUUUCCAAUCUGAGCAAAACGCUUAAAUGUCAAGAGUGUGAUGCUGAUACCACAUUUGAGAGAAAUCCUCAGCAAAUUGCUGACUUAAUGGAGGAAGCCAGGUUACGUCUCUUAACUGCACAGAUGGCAAGUUAUCGGAAGCAAUACAGUAAUGGAAUUCUGAACCAAGAUGCUGCCCAAACAUUAAUAGGUGCAGCAGAAAGUUAUGUGGACAUUAAAGGGAAGUUUAUGAAUAUUCAUGAAGUAAAGACAUACUGGGAAAGCAAAGGAUUCCUGGUAACACUUAAAAAAUGGCUAACUGAUUGGGUAUACAAUGUGAAAGAGGAAAAAUCUAAGCCAUCAAGAAAUAAGAUUCUGAAGAUGUGCCGAGAAGUAGUAUUUAUGGAUGAAUUUGAAUGUAUGAGUACCAUCGUAACAUUUUUGAACUCUGUUCCCAUUAUUCUUAAUUUUAUGGGAAGUGUUAGUUCAGUAUUUCUUCCACAACUAAGAAUGAUGAACUACUAUUUUCUGGGUUUGUAUACAUUGGAAGCAAUUUUGAAGGCUUUAGCAAUGGGGAGAACCUAUAUCUAUCAUCACUGGAAUCUGUUUGAACUUUUGAUUGUAGUACUAGGAUUUAUAGAUAUCAUGAUUACUAGUCUCUUUAAGUCAGUAAGUCCAUCAACACAGGUGAUUGCUGCUAUUGAGGUAUUCCAAGCUAUUCGUCUUCUCAGACUUCUGCGACUCUUGAAGCAUGUGAUACCUAAAGCAAUAUAUUUAUUGGAUACACAAAUAAACAAACAGCUCACUUUCCGAUAUGACAUUGCAAAAGGGUAUGUUCAAGGUGAAGAAGAUAUAAAAGGUGUAAUUGGACAGAUUGCUGGCCACGAAAGAGUUUAUUCAGAAAUAAGUAAAAUUUUGGAAACAAACAAACAAGAAGCUAUGAAGGAGUUAGGAUUAAUGCAGCGUGAGUACCCAGAAAUUGUCAUUGCUGUGAAAACCAAACAAGCAGUCCAAACAGUUCUAAAUGCAGCUUAUGAAACUCUUAAGUUUAUGAUAUCAGGAGGAAUUGUUGAUAGAAAUGAAGGAACUGAACUGCAUAAGGUUAUUCUUAAAAAGAAGAAACAGCUUGCAAUGCUUCCACCUAGAAUUGCACCAGCUACUGCAGAGGAACUUCUGCGCAAUGUCAUUUGGUUACAGAAUGAGAAAAAUCACAUAGAAUACAUUCAGAAGAAAGCACAGAUUCUUUAUUAUGACUAUGGAGGUGUUAUAUGUGAAGAACAUGAACAACCGGGUGGAAUCUAUUUAAUUGUAUCAGGUAUGACAAAGCUUCACGGUUCUGCCCCUCGUUAUGGAGUUGAUAAAGAACACUAUCUGCAAACUCAUCCUGCAGGAAUUCCCUAUACAGACUACUUGGCCACCGGGGCAAUAAUAGGAGAACUCAACUGUCUAACUAACCAAGAAAUGGAAUAUACUGUUACUUGUGAAACUGCUGUGCAGACGUGUUUUAUCUCUAUAGAUGAUUUGCUUGAAGCUUUUGACACAUUUUUGGAUGAGCCAUCUUUAGAAUAUAAAAUAUGGAUGAAAAUUGCUCUCGAUGUUGCUGUCAAAACUUUCAAAGAAAACUAUCCUGACAAGAACUGGGCAGAGAAGCUGUGCAUGCAGUUUUCCAAUAUGUAUGUGACGGAUGUACCCAACCACACCAAAUGUGACAUUUACAAUGGGACUAUGGAUGAUGUCAUUCUUGUACAUGGAACUGUACAAGAUUGUCAAACUCUGCAGCGUUAUGCUGCACCACACAUUUUACCUAAACUCUGCCAUCAGGUACAAGGUACUGCACCGAUAACAAAACUGCUAGUUAUAAAAACUGCAGACACGAUCCUAAGGAAGAACAGUGGAAUGUACAGUGUUUCUCAGCAGUAUCAUGCAACUGCUCGAAGGAUGGGUCACGCCACAUUAACAGCAGCUUCUGAAACAGAAGGCGAGAGUCAGAGUACACUGAACACCAAUUUAGAACACAUGUAUGUGAGCUCUACUAAUUCCAGAUGGGAACAAAUGCACUGAGAAAUGAACAUGUUUCAGCAUCACAGAGCAAGAAUGUUGGGUUUUGUAGAGAAGCAAAACAUAAACGUUAAUAUAAGACUGUGGUCCAACAUUGGGCACUCUCCAUUCUACCCACCAGAAGGCAGGAUUCUUUCAUGGAAGGCAGACUUGGCCGAGAAGCUGGAGGCAUCUCCUCUUCCCACUCUAAGGCCCGAAAACUGUUGAAAGUAAGCCCAACUCCAGAGCAAACAAAAAGCCUUCCUAAUGGUCAGGAAUUGGACCACUGCCUAGUAGACAAGUCAAAAAAUAUAAGCAACCUAUCAAUUCUUCUUACUUGAUGCCAGCCAGUGGUUCAACACAUGGACAUAGCAAAGUGGUGCCCCACAAACUUCAAGAAGAAACAUGAGACUGGAUUCAAGAUUGUAGCAUACACUGAAGGAACCUCCUCAACCAAAGACUGCUUCAGAAGAUGUAAACAUAUUAAUUCUGCAAUAUUUGGUGAUGUUGUGGGGAGGGCAAAGUUGCUGCUCUGCACAUCACUUCACUUGAUGUGCAAAAUAUAGAAGCUCCUUUGAGGGAUUGGGUCAAGCUACUUUCAAAUAAGGGUUUGCUGUGGGGCUUGAAGGGCUUUGGCAAUAAAGAGUUUGCAUUACUUGGAAAGAAAGGUUUUAGAACCUGUUAUACUUGCCUCCUGAGGGCUGUGUAAUGCUGAGAAACACAUGUAUGCAAGUGGAAAGGACUUUUGGAGGGAGGCAAGAGAAACAAAAAUGGAUGCCACUCAGCUCUGCAAUGGGCUAUCAUUGCAGGGACACUAGAGGUGCCCUGCGGACUCCAUGGCCCUUCUUAAGGCAACUUAUUGCUGCAUAUCACGUCACUCACUGGCUUUAAUUUGCUUCCUGGUGAGCCAAAAUAAAGUUCUUGAAAAUAAUUAUCCUAGGUAUUUAUUUUUUCUGGAGCCUUAUGAAAA
Hemicordylus capensis (graceful crag lizard) is the source of this 5012-nucleotide RNA transcript. It is a transcript of the gene named sodium/hydrogen exchanger 10-like, with no coding region annotated. Lineage: Eukaryota; Metazoa; Chordata; Lepidosauria; Squamata; Cordylidae. The record is from RefSeq and is a predicted model, not a curated record. The transcript has 29 exons.